UUAGCUAAUGAAUGUUUUUAAGGAGAGGCAUGAUAGUAUGCUUUGUAUGAAGGGUGAAUCGCAGGGAAGGAAACUAUGGAAGUAGAGAGACUAAUAUGAUGCAUGGAGCAGAAAUCCAGGUAAAUAUGAUGGUGGUUUGAACUAAUUUACUGGCAUAGUAGAUAUAGAGAAUAAGGCAAAAGAGAUAUAAAUGAGAAGUACAAUUGAAUAGAGAUGUUUGGAAGAGAAACUGAUAGAUCUAAAUCUGGACUAGCUAUAGAUGGUCUUGAGGAAGAGAGAAAGCAAUCAACUUUUGGAGGUUAAGCCAUUUAUUCAGAUGUUAACCACUGCGGGAAAGGAUCUAAAACAGUUUGAGGGAAAAUCAUCAUCAUACCACUAUGAUAUUUAGAAUGACCCAUUUACAUUAAUAAACUUUAAGCUCCUCAGCAAGGUCAUGCCUUGGAUUAGAAAAAUACCAAAUAAAUCCUUCCAGCAUAUCCCAUUCUUUCAUAUAUCUAGUAGGAAUAGAAAUUAGAUAAAUGUUAGUCACUAUUAUCCAUGCAAAAUGCCAUUCUUUUUUUUUUUUUUCCUUGCCACAAAGAAAGUGGUUUGGUCAUAUUGAAUAGAGUGACUCACCGACGCCACCUCUGAAUGUCUUACUUUUUCUUUGCUGACAAAGCUCACCUCAGCAACAAGUAGCAAAAACACAGAAGCACUACCACAGGAGGGCUCCCAUGAUUGUUUCCCACUCCUAGGGGACACCAAGAGGCAUAAGGAUGCUGUUGGCAGAGAGCCAGACCUGACUCAUCUUUCCUCUGUACUCGACAAGGUACCCAGCUGGCCCUGCCCUAAACCAUAGGAAUCAUGCCAUAUUGUCUACUGAGCCUCUGAAAAAACACGUCACGGUGUCUGUCCCAUGAUUGCACAACGGUUCUCUUCCAAAAGCGAACCUCCAAUAGACAGCCCACCCCACAAUUCUGCAGGCACAGACAGGCCUCCGGCGCGCAAGCCGCCGCGUCGGCCGCCUCUCCCUUCCGCAUUUUCGGAGCCCGCCAAGCAGAGCCGCGCGGCCGGGACCCGCCGAGGACCGGCCCCGCACGGGACCCCGCGGCCUCGGCUCCUCCUGCAGGGGCCUGGACCUGGUCCCGCAGCUUCUCGCCUCCACUUUGCAGGCGGCGCAACACACCGAGGGACGGGCGGACCGACACAGGUGGGUGUGGCGGCCGAGGGAGCGCCGGCGCGACGCCGAGGGCUGCGGGCUCCCGGGCCGCCCCCAGGGGAGCCCGGGGGAAGGCACUUACUUGCACCCCGGCCGGCCGACGGCGCCCACCCAGCGCUCAGCGGUCCCGCCCGCGACGGGCGCGCUCCCCGGGGGCCCGGCCUCGCCCCGCCCGCGUGCCCUCGCCGCUCCUCCGCCCUCGUUCCUUUGGCUCCUGCUGCUCGGCGGGCGCCUCCGCCACCAGCCGCUGGUCCCCGGCCCGGCCCGGCUUCAGCCUCCGGGAGCGCGGACCUGCACGGACAGCGCUCGGCCGCCGAGGGCGCGCAGGCGAGGCCCCGCCGACACCCAGCCCCUCCGGCCCGGGCGCGCCCAGCGCCGCCCCGGCCCCGCCCCCGGCCCCGCCCACCUCCACAGGCCCCGCCCCCGGCCCCGCCCCCCCGCGCGCUCCCCACCCGCGCUGUCCACGCCCGGCGGGAGGCGCGGGGAGCCCCGGGGCGGCCGGGCUGCGGCAUCUCCGCGGGCGCGGGGAGAAGGCUCCGGAGCGGGGCGCGGCCUCGCGCCCACCGCUACCCCGCCGGGGAGAGGGGGGCGCGCCCGUGUGUGUGA
Molecule: long non-coding RNA, 1804 nt
Filed under: Canis lupus familiaris (dog)
Lineage: Eukaryota; Metazoa; Chordata; Mammalia; Carnivora; Canidae
Description: lncRNA (ENSCAFG00030021601.1)
Source: RNAcentral